CUUGGUCAUUUAGAGGAAGUAAAAGUCGUAACAAGGUUUCCGUAGGUGAACCUGCGGAAGGAUCAUUAGUGAAUCUUCAAAAGUCGGCUCGUUGGAUUGUGCUGGUGGAGACACAUGUGCACGUCCGUCGGGUCGCAAAACCCACACACCUGUGCAUCUAUGACUCUGAGUGCCGCUUUGCAUGGCCUUUGAUUGGGCCUGGUGCUCGAGUACUUUCACACACUCUGGAAUGUAAGGGAAUGUCUUGUUGUGCGUAACGUACAAACUAAAACAACUUUCAACAACGGAUCUCUUGGCUCUCGCAUCGAUGAAGAACGCAGCGAAAUGCGAUAAGUAAUGUGAAUUGCAGAAUUCAGUGAAUCAUCGAAUCUUUGAACGCACCUUGCACCCUUUGGUAUUCCGAAGGGUACACCCGUUUGAGUGUCAUUGUAACCUCACUACGAUCGACUUUAUCGUCUUUCCGUAUGUGGACUUGGAUGCUGCCGUGGACUUCCACGGCUCGUCUGAAAUGCCUGAGUGUACCCCGCUUUGCGGCGUAUUCGGUGUGAUAAAUCUUCACCGGAGUUGAUCCUUUAUGGGUCGCGUCUUAAGGAGUGUGGCUCUAUGCUUCCAACCGUCUGUUUUGGACAAUCUCUGACAAUUUGACCUCAAAUCGGGUGGGACUACCCGCUGAACUUAAGCAUAUCAAUAAGCGGAGGA
This 699-nucleotide ribosomal RNA is filed under the name uncultured Sebacina. Its description in RNAcentral is "eukaryotic LSU rRNA". The stretch from base 273 to 426 matches the Rfam family "5.8S ribosomal RNA". Lineage: Eukaryota; Fungi; Basidiomycota; Agaricomycetes; Sebacinales; Sebacinaceae. The record is from RNAcentral.